GCUACGGGGUGCAGCAGUGAGGAAUAUUGGUCAAUGGGCGAGAGCCUGAACCAGCCAAGUCGCGUGAGGGAGUACUGCCCUAUGGGUUGUAAACCUCUUUUGUCGGGGAGCAAAAGCCGGACGUGUCCGGCUGUGAGAGUACCCGAAGAAAAAGCAUCGGCUAACUCCGUGCCAGCAGCCGCGGUAGUACGGAGGAUGCGAGCGUUAUGCGGAGUUAUUGGGUUGAAAGGGGGCGCAGGGGGGUUUUUAUGUCAGCGGUCAAAUGGUGGGGGUCAACCCCAUCCAGCCGGUGGAACUGGGGAUCGAGAGGGGGCGUGAGGUAUGCGGAAUGCGUGGUGUAGCGGUGAAAUGCAUAGAUA
RNAcentral lists this ribosomal RNA (359 nucleotides) under uncultured bacterium. RNAcentral's name for it is "partial 16S ribosomal RNA". It matches the Rfam family "Bacterial small subunit ribosomal RNA", at positions 338 to 696 of the family's 1533-position model. The record is from RNAcentral.